AAUAUAUGACAUGGAGCAGUAUUCUAGUUUGAAAAUGCUAUGAAGACGGGCCUAAAAAUUCGUUAAAGAGCAUACCUGUGAAACGUCUUGUGCUUGCUUCUUUCGCCCAGAUUGGGGUGGGUGCUGGAUAUGAGUUUGCAUGGGCUUUCUGUAAUGGCAUACAGUUUAAAAGACCCAUCAUACGCGGAGACUUAAGUACGUGCUUUUUGUACGGCUUAAGAUUAAACCUACUAUGUGGCUAGCGCUAUGAGUAGUGUAGCUUGCCUUGAGUGAGAGUAUUGGGAUAUAUAGAUCAGGGAAUUUAUCUAGGCAUAGAUAAAUUUCUAUCGCUAUUUGAAAUUUCUCUUGCAAAAAAGUGCUAAUAGCAAUUUAUUCAUUUGAAGAAAUUUCCUAGACUGUAGAUUAUAUAGAAUUGCAGUGCGUACUAAGUGGCAAUCAAGUAAUGCUUAUCGCAAGGUGGCAUGCUUUUUCUUAAAUGGGAACGGCCGGAUGGUAACAGAGGGUGAAAAAGUGGGAAAUCCAACUUGACCUAAGACGCAGAGUUUGCUAUAUAAGAUUCCAUGG
Molecule: small RNA, 564 nt
Filed under: human gut metagenome
Source: RNAcentral